This 2325-nucleotide long non-coding RNA is filed under the name Taeniopygia guttata (zebra finch). RNAcentral's name for it is "lncRNA (ENSTGUG00000020463.1)". Lineage: Eukaryota; Metazoa; Chordata; Aves; Passeriformes; Estrildidae. The record is from RNAcentral.
AUGACAUUUUUUCCCCCAAAAAUCACAAUUUUUUUCCCAAAAAAAUCACUUUUUUUUCCCCCAAAAAUCGCAUUUUUUUCCCCCCAAAAGUCGCAUUUUUUCCCCCCAAAAUUCCCGGUUUUUCCCCAAAAAUCCCAAUUUUCCCCCCCAAAAUUCCCGAUUUUUCCCCAAAACCCCUUUUAUCCCAAAAUCCCAGGAUUUGCCCCCAAAAAUCGCAUUUUUUUUCCCUCAAAAAUCGCAUUUUUCCCCCCAAAAUCGCAAUUUCCCCCCCAAAAUUCCCGUUUUUUUCCCAAACCCCCUUUUUUCCCAAAAUCCCAGGAUUUCCCCCCAAAUAUCGCAUUUUUUCUCCCAAAAAUCGCAUUUUUUUUCCCCAAAAAAUCACAUUUUUCCCCCAAAAAUCACAUUUUUUCCCCCAAAAAUCACUUUUUUUUCUCCCAAAAAAAUAGCAUUUUUCCCCCCCAAAAUCCCAAUUUCCACCCCAAAAAUUCCCGUUUUUUUCCCAAACCCCCUUUUUUCCCAAAAUCCCGGUUUUUCCCCCCAAAAAAUCCCCGAUUUUCUCCCAAAAAUCCGAUUUUUUCCCCCCCAAAAUUCCCAAUUAUUUCUCAAACCCCCUUUUUUUCCCAAAAUCCCGCGGUUUUCCCACAGAAAUCGCAUUUUUUCCCCCCAAAAAUCACAUUUUUCCCCCCCAAAAAAUCACAUUUUUUCCCCCAAAAAUCACAUUUUUUCUCCCCAAAAUCCCCAUUUUCCCCCCCAAAAUUCCCGGUUUUUUCUCCCAACCCCCUUUUUUUCCCAAAAUCCCGCGGUUUCCCCCCAAAAAUCGCAUUUUUUUUUCCCAAAAAAAAUCACAUUUUUUCCCCCAAAAAUCACAUUCCCCCCCCCAAAAAUCGCAUUUUUUUUCCCCCAAAAUCGCAUUUUUCCCCCGAAAAUCCCAAUUUUCCCCCCCAAAAUUCCCGAUUUUCCCCCAAACCCCCUUUUUUUCCCAAAAUCCCGCGGUUUUCCCCCAAAAAUCUCAUUUUUUUCCCCCAAAAAUCACAUUUUCCCCCCCACAAAAAAUCACAUUUUUUCUCCCAAAAAUCACAUUUUUUUUCCCAAAAAUCACAUUUUUUCCCCCAAAAAUCGCAUUUUUUCCCCCCAAAAAAAUCACAUUUUUUUCCCCAAAAUCCCCAUUUUCCCCCCCAAAAUCCCAAUUUUCCCCCCAAAAUUCCCGAUUUUUUCCCCAAACCCCUUUUUAUCCCAAAAUCCCAGGAUUUCCCCCCAAAAAUCAUAUUUUUUCUCCCAAAAAUCGCUUUUUUUUCCCCAAAAAAUCACAUUUUUUUCCCCCAAAAAAAUCACAUUUUUUCCCCCAAAAUCCCCAUUUCCUCCCCAAAAUUCCCGAUUUUUCCCAAACCCCCUUUUUUACCCAAAAUCCCAGGAUUUCCCCCCAAAAAUCCCAUUUUUCCCCAAAAAAUCGCAUUUUUUCCCCCCAAAAUCACAUUUUUCCCCCCGAAAAAUCACAUUUUUUUCUCUCAAAAAUCGCAUUUUUUCCCCAAAAAUCGCAUUUUUUCCCCCAAAAAUUCCCGGUUUUCCCCAAAACCCCUUUUUUUUCCCAAAAUCCAGCGGUUUUCCCCCAAAAAUCCCAGGAUUUCCUCCCCAAAAAAUGCAUUUUUUUCCCCCCAAAAAUCACAUUUUUUCCCCAAAAAAAUCACAUUUUUUCUCCCAAAAUCCCCAUUUUCCCCCCCAAAAAUUCCCGAUUUUUCCCCAAAACCCCCUUUUUUCCCAAAAUCCCGCGGUUUUCCCCCAAAAAUCGCAUUUUUUUCCCCACCAAAAAUCGCAUUUUUUUCCCCACCAAAAUUCACUUUUUUUUCCCCCAAAAAUCACUUUUUUUUCCCCCGAAAAAUCGCAUUUUCUCCCCAAAAAUCCCGAUUUUCACCCCAAAAUUCCCGUUUUUUCCCAAAAUCCCGCGGUUUUCCCCAAAAAAUCGCUUUUUUUUUCCCACCAAAAAUCACAUUUUUCCCACCAAAAAUCACAUUUUUUCCCCCCAAAAAUCGCAUUUUUUCUCCCAAAAAUCACAUUUUUUCCCCCCAAAAAAUCCCGUUUUUUUCCCAAACCCCCUUUUUUGCCCAAAAUCCCAGGAUUUCCCCCCAAAAAUCGCAUUAUUUUUCCCCAAAAAACCACAUUUUUCCCCCAAAAAACGCAUUUUUUUCCCCGAAAAAUCACAUUUUUUCCCCCCAAAAAAUCACAUUUUUUCUUCCAAAAAUCGCAUUUUUCUCCCCAAAAUCCCAAUUUUCCCCCUUUUUUCCCAAAAUCGCAUUUUUUUCCCCCCAAAAAUCCCCAUUUUUGGGGUGA